RNAcentral lists this ribosomal RNA (264 nucleotides) under uncultured bacterium. Its description in RNAcentral is "partial 16S ribosomal RNA". It matches the Rfam family "Bacterial small subunit ribosomal RNA", at positions 88 to 354 of the family's 1533-position model. The record is from RNAcentral.
CCGGCAACCGGCGCGCGGGUGAGUAACACGUAUGCAACCUGCCCGUCUCAGGGGGAUAAUCGUCGGAAACGGCGUCUAAUACCCCGUAUGAAGCUGGACGGCAUCGUCUGGUUUUGAAAGAAUAUCGGAGACGGAUGGGCAUGCGGCGCAUUAGCUAGUUGGCGGGGUAACGGCCCACCAAGGCGACGAUGCGUAGGGGUUCUGAGAGGAAGGUCCCCCACACUGGUACUGAGACACGGACCAGACUCCUACGGAAGGCAGCAG